AACGAACGCUGGCGGCAGGCUUAACACAUGCAAGUCGAACGCCCCGCAAGGGGAGUGGCAGACGGGUGAGUAACGCGUGGGAACAUACCCUUUUCUACGGAAUAGCUCUGGGAAACUGGAAUUAAUACCGUAUACGCCCUACGGGGGAAAGAUUUAUCGGGGAAGGAUUGGCCCGCGUUGGAUUAGCUAGUUGGUGGGGUAAAGGCCUCCCAAGGCGACGAUCCAUAGCUGGUCUGAGAGGAUGAUCAGCCACAUGGGGACUGAGACACGGCCCAAACUCCUACGGGAGGCAGCAGUGGGGAAUAUUGGACAAUGGGCGCAAGCCUGAUCCAGCCAUGCCGCGUGAGUGAUGAAGGCCUUAGGGUUGUAAAGCUCUUUCACCGAUGAAGAUAAUGACGGUAGUCGGAGAAGAAGCCCCGGCUAACUUCGUGCCAGCUGCCGCAGUAA
This 447-nucleotide ribosomal RNA is filed under the name uncultured bacterium. RNAcentral's name for it is "partial 16S ribosomal RNA". It matches the Rfam family "Bacterial small subunit ribosomal RNA", at positions 29 to 523 of the family's 1533-position model. The record is from RNAcentral.